RNAcentral lists this ribosomal RNA (740 nucleotides) under uncultured archaeon. RNAcentral's name for it is "bacterial SSU rRNA". It matches the Rfam family "Archaeal small subunit ribosomal RNA", at positions 1 to 750 of the family's 1478-position model. The record is from RNAcentral.
UUCCGGUUGAUCCUGCCGGACCCGACUGCUAUCAGAGUGAGAUUAAGCCAUGCGAGUUAACGUAGCAAUACGUGGCGCACGGCUCAGUAACACGUAGUCAACAUGCCCAGAGGACGUGGAUAACCUCGGGAAACUGAGUCUAAACCGCGAUAAGUGAGGAUUUCUGGAAUGCUUCCUGACUAAAAUCUAUAUGGCCUCUGGAUUGGACUGCGGCCGAUCAGGCUGUUGGUGAGGUAAUGGCCCACCAAACCUGUAACCGGUACGGGCUCUGAGAGGAGGAGCCCGGAGAUGGGCACUGAGACAAGGGCCCAGGCCCUAUGGGGCGCAGCAGGCGCGAAACCUCUGCAAUAGGCGAAAGCCUGACAGGGUUACUCUGAGUGACUUUCGCUAAGAAAGUCUUUUGGCACCUCUAAAAAGGGUGCAGAAUAAGGGGUGGGCAAGUCUGGUGUCAGCCGCCGCGGUAAUACCAGCACCCCGAGUGGUCGGGACGAUUAUUGGGCCUAAAGCAUCCGUAGCCGGUUCUGCAAGUCCCCCGUUAAAUCCAGCUGCUCAACAGAUGGGCCGCGGAGGAUACUACAGAGCUAGGAGGCAGGAGAGGCAUGCGGUACUCAGUGGGUAGGGGUAAAAUCCGUUGAUCCAUUGAAGACCACCAGUGGCGAAGGCGGCUUGCCAGAAUGCGCUCGACGGUGAGGGAUGAAAGCUGGGGGAGCAAACCGGAUUAGAUACCCGGGUAGUCCCAG